This is a long non-coding RNA of Daktulosphaira vitifoliae (grape phylloxera), 2495 nucleotides long. RefSeq lists it as uncharacterized. NCBI's taxonomy places the organism in Eukaryota, Metazoa, Arthropoda, Insecta, Hemiptera, Phylloxeridae. The record is from RefSeq and is a predicted model, not a curated record. The transcript has 3 exons.
UUGAAAAAUCUAAAUACGUGUUUUUGUUGUGGUCAAAUUAAAUUAUUAAGCCAUUGAAUCAAUGAUAAUCUCAAAACACAUUAUUAUCGCCGGAUUUGAAUUAUUGUUAUGUGCGUAUAAAAAAAACGGGUUAUCAAAUAAUAAAUCAUUUUAUGAUAAACAAUAUCCGGUAACAUAAAUUCGGGUUACGGACGUACGUAGUUUCCUUUGUAAUGUCAUCGAUAUUUUUUUAGUUUUUUGUGCACGAAUAUUGGUUAAUUGUUUAAAGUUUCAAACUGAAUGUCACACCAAUAAAUUUAGUGCUGAUAAUGGUCAAUUGCUAACAAAUAAUUGUUCAUGUUCUAAUAAUAAUUACUGAGUGCAUAAUGAAGCUAUUUAAGAAAUAUUUUAAAAUACGUCCAUUUGGUAUUAACUGGUGACCAGUGCAGAAACUAAGUUUUUCGGGACCCCUGUAUUGGGAAGAUGGAUUGAAGGAGUGCGAUCUCUCUGUAAAAUUAUUAAAUACUUAAGACAUAACUAUUUUUUAUUUAGAGAGCGCGGGGCUCAUGUCCCGUUUACCUCGUCCUCGAGACAAUACUGUUAGUGACGUCCAAUGAAUAUUUCGGAUAAUAAGCAAUACAUUUAGGGAAUGUAAACAAUUUUAAGUAGUAAGUACAAAUUAAGAACACUCAAUACUUUACAGAGGAGGACACAGACCAGCUAUGCAGUGUGUAACAUUAUUCUAUUACCAAGCCAGUGGCGACAAUAGGGAGAUGUGAAGAUUGCGGCUACAUUAAGGGGGCCUUUCUAACUAUCCAGAAUAUCAAUUUUUGUUUUAUGUUCCAACCGAAUUGUAAAUGGGAUUCCUAUUUUUUUCCGCGUCGGGGUCAAAUUCGUAUAUUUAUGCCACUCUACUCGACUAUUUUGAUGACAUUUUAUUACUGUGUAGAAUAACGUCCAUCUUUGUAUGAGAACUGGCAUAUUCAAUCGUUUGAAAAUUUCAAUAAAGUCUACAAAUUGGCAUUCAAGAGAAUAAUACCAGUGUUGAAUUCAGAAUUUUUCCACGGGAUUCUAAACUUUUUUGCGAGCAGAUAAAAGUUUUUAAACUAUGCCUAGACUCAACGCUGGGUAAUACGAAACUGAGCUGCCUCCAAGUUGAAUCUUCGCGUAAGCUUACAAUUUGAACAUGAACAAUGAAUUGCCGCUGUAACUUUGAAACCUAAUCAACUAUAAUCGAGUUUCAUAACGACAGUCACCGUCUAUGAAUAUUUAUAUUACUCCUACCGUCGGCCGUUGCAAUAUUUAAUUUGUGUAUAACCUCUCUACAUUUUUUGUGAACAAAAAACUUUUCGGUGUAUUAAUGUACAGGUGUAUUGUCGUACAACACAUGUCAAUUAUUGUUCGCGUGGAAAUAAUAUAAACACAAUGUAGUCGUCGUCAACUGAAUUCGUUCCAAUAAUAGUCACUUCAUCGAUUCUCUGUAAAACUGCUUGCACACAGGUACUCUAUUACUGACGACAACGUCGGCGUGUCCUUCGGCCGCACGAAUUCCUAGUGAAUGACUAUCGUCUAAAUUAACUAACACACAUAAGUAUGUCAGUAUAAACCAGAAAGAUUAUUCAGAAAAUGUAAAUGCAUCGUUAAUUAUUAUUGUUACAGCCCGCCCACCUUACACCGCACAACUGGCGUUAUACCUGCCCAGCAUACCCGUUUAAUGCAAUUAUUGAACAUUUCAAGACGAUGCUUUUGAUUAACAGUAUUCGGAAAUACUUGCGUUAUUUUUAUAUGUGUUUGCCGCGGUCGAUAUUCAGAAUACCUUUAGUUGAAACAGAUGUUCAAUAAAUUAUGCACUGUAUAAAUGAGAUUUUCACACGUUUCACUAACACCUUCACUGGCGCUACUGUUGCGUACACUUCAUUGCCUUUGACGACAACUGAAAUAUAAAUACGAAAGAGAGCUAUCAAUUGUUUUAGGCGUACUUAAGAUACUUUUCAUGAAGGCUGCUCCCCCACUAGUUCUUUUUGGUUCUUGUAAAAACAAUACGUAAUGUUUCUUAGAAAUGAAAAAGAGCAGCCGUACCCUAAGCUACGUAAACAAGAUUUUGGAAUUAUUUUUAUUUUACUACCACCAAUGGAAUAAUUGAAUUUUAUGAUUUACUCAAUUCAUUUUUAAUUUUUCCUCAAGUUAAUUUCUUUUUCUUUUUUUAAAAAAGUAUAAAAAUGUUUUAUAAAAAGAGUUUUUAAUUUAAUUAGCUUCAGAGUCGUAUCCAGAAUAUUUUUUUCGUCAGGGAACCAAAAUAUAUAUGUGUAUGUGUGUUGUAAAAUAAUUCGGGAGGGUAAGGGGGUCCAGACCCUUUAGACCUCCCUCGGAUUUAAUUAAAGUUAAUAUACACUUACUAAACGUUUGCGCUCUAUAAAAUAUUUAGACUUCUUAAAUACAUUUAAUUGUGUUUUGGAUUAAAAAUAUGUACAAAAUGAUUUGAUAUAAAUGGUGACAUUUUUAAGCUUAAAAUAGAG